UGUUUCGUGGUCGAGUGGUAAGGACACAAGUAUCUCACACUGAAGUCCCGGGUUCGAUUCCCGGUCAAGGAGCUGGGAUAG
Rhamnusium bicolor is the source of this 81-nucleotide non-coding RNA. The record is from the annotation of a GenBank genome assembly. NCBI's taxonomy places the organism in Eukaryota, Metazoa, Arthropoda, Insecta, Coleoptera, Cerambycidae.